UCCAGUAUCCCAAAAAAGAAUCUUUCCUCCCAAAAGGCUCGAACAAAGACAAUUCUCAAUGUCUGGUUCAACGCUCAACUAACAAACUUAGACCUGGUACUAAGACGUGACUACACUAAAUAUCAAAAUCAAGACACGCUGGUUCACUCUACCAAGAUACUUUCCCGACGUCACCAGCACAGAACCAAAAAACCUCACAGCUCAACAACUUAACUAUCUCCUCUAAAAGCAAGAUAAACACUACACAAAACCGAAUCCAAUGUAACGUCGAUCAAAUCACAUCAAAGAAACACUUACGCCAAAUCGAGAGAAACAAGCAAACAACCACAUCUGCGUUGACACAAGGAGCCACCAGAGACGAAGACCUGAUGAAAACCAAGCAAACGUUACAAACAGAGCUUUGAACACCUACUCAACACGGAGAGCCUCACUCGCUGCCACAAAGAGAACUCGCUCAGAACCACUAGGAAGAGCCAUCACAAAAUCACUGACAAGAAUGAACCUAGAUACCACGCCGGAGGUGGCCACAACUCCGACACGCCCAGGAUGGAGAGAAAAACCAGAUCUGAAAGCAACAGGCCGAGAUCUGUUCUCGAAGACCUCACAGCACACGUCACCAAGAGCCAGCCUAACCACACCACCAUGAAGACACGCAGCGGCCACACCAUGAUCCAGAAAGAUCCCACACCGUGCGCCACCAGAGCUUCAACCAUAGAUCCAACCAAGAGAUUUGCUGAGAUGCCACACUUCUCCCUCUAUUCGAGCCUCUGCGCAAGGCCAUAAGAGCCCAGACAUCAAAGUGACAUUGCAUGUAUUGCUAGUCAC
Molecule: long non-coding RNA, 825 nt
Filed under: Eutrema salsugineum
Lineage: Eukaryota; Viridiplantae; Streptophyta; Magnoliopsida; Brassicales; Brassicaceae
Description: long non-coding RNA (ESAL_LNC002190)
Source: RNAcentral